Hippopotamus amphibius kiboko is the source of this 402-nucleotide long non-coding RNA. RefSeq lists it as uncharacterized. The transcript is spliced from 3 exons. The record is from RefSeq and is a predicted model, not a curated record. Lineage: Eukaryota; Metazoa; Chordata; Mammalia; Artiodactyla; Hippopotamidae.
CUGGGCUGUGGUGGUGCCCAUUCCGCUAUCUGGGUACCGCGGGAUGCGACCGCGAGGAGAUGAUGUACAAAACAAUUAUCAAGCAUUUGCUGACUUCUGUUGUAUGAAUACUCCCAGAUUUCAAACCACCAAUGGAUACCACUGAAUGAACAGGUAGGAAGAGGGGACACGGUUCAAUCCCUGGUCAGGGAAGAUCCCACAUGCCGCAGAGCAACUAAGCCCAUGAGCCACAACUGCUGAGCCCACGUGCUGCAACUACUGAAGCCUGUGGGCCCAGAGCCCAAGCUCUGCAACAAGAGAAGCCACCGCAAUGAGAAGCCCAGGCACCGCAACGAAGAGUAGCCCCCACUCGCCACAACUAGAGAAAGUGCAUGCAUAGCAAUGAAGAUCCAACGCAGCGCG